Molecule: transfer RNA, 63 nt
Filed under: Fukomys damarensis (Damara mole-rat)
Lineage: Eukaryota; Metazoa; Chordata; Mammalia; Rodentia; Bathyergidae
Rfam family: tRNA
About the family: Transfer RNA (tRNA) molecules are approximately 80 nucleotides in length. Their secondary structure includes four short double-helical elements and three loops (D, anti-codon, and T loops).
Source: Rfam by way of RNAcentral
GGGGAUUUAGCUCAGUGGCACAGCACCUGCCUUGCAAGCACAAGGUCCUGAGUUCAAUCCCCG